GGCCAGGCUGGUCUCGAACUCCUGACCUCAGCCUCCCGAGUAGCUGGGAUUACAGGUGUCACCACCACGCAUGGCUAAUUUUUGUAUUUUUAGUAGAGAUGGGGUUUCACUGUGUUGGCCAGGCUGGUCUCGAACUCCUGACCUCAGGUGAUCCACCCGCCUUGGCCUCCCAAAGUGCCGGGAUUACAGGCAUGAACCACUGUGCCCGGCCAGUAGAGACUUAAUUCUUAA
RNAcentral lists this long non-coding RNA (231 nucleotides) under Homo sapiens (human). RNAcentral's name for it is "HSALNT0383868". The record is from RNAcentral. Lineage: Eukaryota; Metazoa; Chordata; Mammalia; Primates; Hominidae.